UGGCUAAUUGCUAUAAUCGACUUCUUAAA
This 29-nucleotide non-coding RNA is filed under the name Mus musculus (house mouse). Lineage: Eukaryota; Metazoa; Chordata; Mammalia; Rodentia; Muridae. The record is from RNAcentral.